UGGCAGAGAAUUGAAUGUACAAUAAAAUAUAUUACAUUUAAAAAUCAAUCAAUUAAUUUAAUAUCUUAGUCAUUAAAAUAUUGCCUACCUUAAGUUCAUAUCAAAUUAAAAUCAACAUUUUUACAAAAAUAAAGUAUUUUUUUUUAAAUUUAACUAUUGUAUGGUUCAUAAUCUAAUUAGGUGGGUAAUUGUUUUUUUUAUUCUAUUCGUUUUUUUUUAAUUAUUCAUAUU
Cinara cedri is the source of this 231-nucleotide non-coding RNA. NCBI's taxonomy places the organism in Eukaryota, Metazoa, Arthropoda, Insecta, Hemiptera, Aphididae. The record is from the annotation of a GenBank genome assembly.